This 374-nucleotide ribosomal RNA is filed under the name uncultured organism. Its description in RNAcentral is "bacterial SSU rRNA". It matches the Rfam family "Bacterial small subunit ribosomal RNA", at positions 526 to 896 of the family's 1533-position model. The record is from RNAcentral.
CGUAGGGGGCAAGCGUUGUCCGGAUUUAUUGGGCGUAAAGAGCUCGUAGGCGGCUAUUCGCGUCGGAUGUGAAAGCUCAAGGCUCAACCUUGAGAGGCCAUUCGAUACGGGGUAGCUAGAGGUAGGCAGGGGAGAUCGGAAUUCCUGGUGUAGCGGUGAAAUGCGCAGAUAUCAGGAGGAACACCGAUGGCGAAGGCAGAUCUCUGGGCCUUACCUGACGCUGAGGAGCGAAAGCUGGGGGAGCGAACAGGAUUAGAUACCCUGGUAGUCCCAGCCGUAAACGUUGAGUGCUAGGUGUGGGGCGGUCUUCAACCCGCUCUGUGCCGCAGCUAACGCAUUAAGCACUCCGCCUGGGGAGUACGGUCGCAAGACUA